Molecule: ribosomal RNA, 450 nt
Filed under: uncultured Glomus
Lineage: Eukaryota; Fungi; Glomeromycota; Glomeromycetes; Glomerales; Glomeraceae
Description: SSU rRNA
Rfam family: Eukaryotic small subunit ribosomal RNA
Source: RNAcentral
AGCAGCCGCGGUAAUUCCAGCUCCAAUAGCGUAUAUUAAAGUUGUUGCAGUUAAAAAGCUCGUAGUUGAAUUUCGGGAUCAAAUUGUUGGUCGUGCUUCGGUACGCACUGGCAUUAUUGGUUCCUACCUUCUGAAGAACCGCGAUGUCAUUAAUUUGGUGUCGUGGGGAAUCAGGACUGUUACUUUGAAAAAUUAGAGUGUUUAAAGCAGGCGUACGCUUGAAUACAUUAGCAUGGAAUAAUGAAAUAGGACGUUUGAUUCUAUUUUGUUGGUUUCUAGGAUCGACGUAAUGAUUAAUAGGGAUAGUUGGGGGCAUUAGUAUUCAAUUGUCAGAGGUGAAAUUCUUGGAUUUAUUGAAGACUAACUACUGCGAAAGCAUUUGCCAAGGAUGUUUUCAUUAAUCAAGAACGAAAGUUAGGGGAUCGAAGACGAUCAGAUACCGUCGUAGUC